GUAACUCAGCAGGUCAGGCAGCAUCUGUGGAGAACAUGGAUAUGUGAUGCCGGGGAUCCUUCUUCAGAUUGAUUCACUCUGCUGAGUUACUUCAGCACUUUGUGUCAUUUCACCUUAAAAUAAAUGCCGAUGCUGCUGGUCUGCACCAGUCGCGUUGAAGCAGUUGUUGUUGUGGCUCACGUUGUAGUUCCUGGUUUAGAACAAGAGAGCAAGAAAUAGUGAAAAGUCUAUGAAACUCUGACAGCAACCUGAGAACUAGUCCGGGGAGAAACACGAUGCAAAAACAAAGGGAUAUGUUGCUGCUCCUCCAGCGUUGUCGUGCCUACAUUCAAGAGCAACUUUUUGGAUGGAGCACAAUAUGCAAGGGGGGAGGGGAGGUUUCUUUAUCUUCCAAUUGAGGAAUUCAUAGUGAUGGCUGUCUUCUGUACUGAACUGGAAAAGACAAAGGGGAGGGAUGGGUCUUAGUCAGGGUAUCAUCAUGAAAAAAGCCUUGCAAAGAUUUUACACAGAGGGUGUUGAGUGCUUGGAACGCGCUGUCGGAGAUGAUGGUGGAGGGAGAUUGCGAAAGUGGCAUUUAAGAGACUCUUGGAUAGGCAUAUUCAGUAUGUCAGAGAGGACUCCCUUGAAAUUCUACAGGUGUGCAGAAGAGAGCUAUAUUGACUGGUUGCAUCACAGUUUGGUUCGGCAACUGGAACGCACAGGAGUGAAGAAGACUGUAAAAGGUGGUGAACACUGCCCAGUCCAUCACGACUAAACUCCCCACCAUCGAAGGCCUCAAGAAGGCAGCCAGCAUCAUCAGAGACCCACACCAUCUUCAUUUCACUCCUGCCAUUGGGAAGAGGAUAUUGGAGCCUGAAAACUGUAACGUCCAGGUUCUGGAACAGCUUCUUCCCAACAGCCAUCAGACUAUUAAAGCACUAAUCUCUAAAU
Molecule: long non-coding RNA, 930 nt
Organism: Leucoraja erinaceus (little skate)
Lineage: Eukaryota; Metazoa; Chordata; Chondrichthyes; Rajiformes; Rajidae
Exons: 3
Source: RefSeq, a predicted model, not a curated record